Molecule: ribosomal RNA, 449 nt
Filed under: uncultured bacterium
Lineage: Bacteria
Description: bacterial SSU rRNA
Rfam family: Bacterial small subunit ribosomal RNA
Source: RNAcentral
GAUCAUGGCUCAAGAACGAACGCUGGCGGCAGGCCUAACACAUGCAAGUCGAACGCUCGUAGCAAUACGGGAGUGGCAGACGGGUGCGUAACGCGUGGGAACAUACCCUUUGGUUCGGAAUAACUCAGGGAAACUUGAGCUAAUACCGGAUACGCCCGAGAGGGGAAAGAUUUAUUGCCGAAGGAUUGGCCCGCGUCUGAUUAGCUAGUUGGUGAGGUAACGGCUCACCAAGGCGACGAUCAGUAGCUGGUCUGAGAGGAUGAUCAGCCACACUGGGACUGAGACACGGCCCAGACUCCUACGGGAGGCAGCAGUGGGGAAUAUUGGACAAUGGGCGCAAGCCUGAUCCAGCCAUGCCGCGUGAGUGAUGACGGCCUUAGGGUUGUAAAGCUCUUUUACCCGGGAAGAUAAUGACGGUACCGGGAGAAUAAGCCCCGGCUAACUUCGUG